AGUGAACGCUGGCGGUAGGCCUAACACAUGCAAGUCGAACGGCAGCACAGUAAGAGCUUGCUCUUACGGGUGGCGAGUGGCGGACGGGUGAGGAAUACAUCGGAAUCUACUUUUUCGUGGGGGAUAACGUAGGGAAACUUACGCUAAUACCGCAUACGACCUACGGGUGAAAGCAGGGGAUCUUCGGACCUUGCGCGAUUGAAUGAGCCGAUGUCGGAUUAGCUAGUUGGCGGGGUAAAGGCCCACCAAGGCGACGAUUCGUAGCUGGUCUGAGAGGAUGAUCAGCCACACUGGAACUGAGACACGGUCCAGACUCCUACGGGAGGCAGCAGUGGGGAAUAUUGGACAAUUGGCGCAAGCCUGAUCCAGCCAUACCGCGUGGGUGAAGAAGGCCUUCGGGUUGUAAAGCCCUUUUGUUGGGAAAGAAAAGCAGCAGGUUAAUACCCCGCUGUUCUGACGGUACCCAAAGAAUAAGCACCGGCUAACUUCGUG
This 492-nucleotide ribosomal RNA is filed under the name uncultured bacterium. Its description in RNAcentral is "partial 16S ribosomal RNA". It matches the Rfam family "Bacterial small subunit ribosomal RNA", at positions 29 to 507 of the family's 1533-position model. The record is from RNAcentral.